UCCGGAAGGCCAGCCCCAGGGGGUAUGCUCUCGCGCGGUGAAGCACCCAGGCUGAGUUGCCUUAGGCCGGUAGACUGGGUCGUGUUUAUCUGGAAGGCCAGCCCCAGGGGGUAUGCUCUCGCGCGGUGAAGCACCCAGGCUGAGUUGCCUUAGGCCGGUAGACUGGGUCGUGUUUAUCUGGAAGGCCAGCCCCAGGGGGUAUGCUCUCGCGCGGUGAAGCACCCAGGCUGAGUUGCCUUAGGCCGG
RNAcentral lists this long non-coding RNA (246 nucleotides) under Volvox carteri. RNAcentral describes it as "long non-coding RNA (VCAR_LNC001744)". Lineage: Eukaryota; Viridiplantae; Chlorophyta; Chlorophyceae; Chlamydomonadales; Volvocaceae. The record is from RNAcentral.